UCCCUCGAUACAAAGGAAUUGAUCCGCUUCAAGCUCAAGGCCGAAGUCAAGACUGCCUUUCUACAUCAGCCCUGAAAAAAGGUAGGUAGCUUAUCCUCACUCGAUCGACUCAGGCUAUGGUUUGAUUCCUGUCAUAUGUACCCGCUAAGGCAACCCCGUCACAGCUCGCAUUGUUUUUUCAGUUGAGGAUUUCCCUUUGUAAUAAGUCAAAACCUAAGUUUUGUUUUUAGCUCUAUGGAUCCACACUUGAUCGGUUCAAAAAUUGCACUAAGUUUUGAAUUUUCUUUUUUUUUAUUCUAUUUAAGUUAUCAUUUACUUCUUUUAUGCUAGCAAAAUUGUAUUU
This 343-nucleotide long non-coding RNA is filed under the name Durio zibethinus. Its description in RNAcentral is "long non-coding RNA (DZIB_LNC001745)". Lineage: Eukaryota; Viridiplantae; Streptophyta; Magnoliopsida; Malvales; Malvaceae. The record is from RNAcentral.